UGGGGUUGUGGCUCAGCGGUAAAGCGCUCGCCUCACAAGUGCGAGGCCCUGGGUUCAAUCCUCAGCACCACAA
RNAcentral lists this transfer RNA (73 nucleotides) under Marmota monax (woodchuck). Its description in RNAcentral is "tRNA.Val". It matches the Rfam family "tRNA". From Rfam's summary of the family: Transfer RNA (tRNA) molecules are approximately 80 nucleotides in length. Their secondary structure includes four short double-helical elements and three loops (D, anti-codon, and T loops). Further hydrogen bonds mediate the characteristic L-shaped molecular structure. tRNAs have two regions of fundamental functional importance: the anti-codon, which is responsible for specific mRNA codon recognition, and the 3' end, to which the tRNAs corresponding amino acid is attached (by aminoacyl-tRNA synthetases). tRNAs cope with the degeneracy of the genetic code in two manners: having more than one tRNA (with a specific anti-codon) for a particular amino acid; and 'wobble' base-pairing, i.e. permitting non-standard base-pairing at the 3rd anti-codon position. Lineage: Eukaryota; Metazoa; Chordata; Mammalia; Rodentia; Sciuridae. The record is from RNAcentral.